RNAcentral lists this long non-coding RNA (1119 nucleotides) under Bemisia tabaci. Its description in RNAcentral is "lncRNA ENSSSA3NGG006906". The record is from RNAcentral. Lineage: Eukaryota; Metazoa; Arthropoda; Insecta; Hemiptera; Aleyrodidae.
AUGGAGCCGUAUCGGUUGGACAUCCACCUUCGUGGCGGGGCCCUGCUCCAAGCUGCUUUAACCAUCGAGAAAUUUCUUGAAUUAAAGUCAGAUUUUGUUGUAACAGGAGAAUAUGCUAAAUUACUGUUAGAGACGGAAGUACUCAAUGGAACAUUAAACGAAAAAAACACUACUAUCGACCACAUUGAACUCUACGAUCAUGAAACGAUGGUUAAUUUCCUGGAGGAUGGAAUCCUGGAGGAUCUGCCGGAUGCAGAGUUAUUCCAUGAUGACCUGGAACCACCCAUGCCGGAAUUUGAUGAACAUGAAGAAAGGUCAACUUAUUGGACGCGGGUUCUUAAUUACAAGUAUGUUCUGCGGCACAAUGAAGGUUCUGAUCCAGAAAUUGAGUUAGUCACAAAUGCAACAGAGUUACUCAUACAUAUAUAUGGCAGUGAUCAUGUCCAACAUAUGGUCAAAUCCCGAUCCAAAAAAGUGGCGUACAUAUGGAUGAAUGUGGCGGAGCAACUGGCCAAACAUGGUUUUCCUAUUCCAGCAAAACCAGGAAAAACGAUCGGCAAACAGUGUGACGACAAGUUUCGAGGUAUAAAGAACAAGUAUCAAUCUCAUUUGGCGCCAAAAACUGGGCAAGCAAGAACGAAGAAGCCUCCAUACUUUGACCUGAUGCAUAAAUACUUUGGCGACAAACAGAUCUCAGUACCUACUUGUCUAAAUGAUUCGCUUGCACGAAGGGUGCGUGAUCGUAGUCCAAUUGUAUCAGCACACAAGCCCUCCACUCCGCCCGUUCCCACUACUUCUGCCACCUCCAACACUGCUGCAGCCUCCUCUUCUCCAACCUCCUCUUCUCCUGCGUCCUCUUCUCCUGCGUCCUCUUCUCCUGCCAUUCUUAACAAAUCACGCUUUCAGGCAAAGUCUGUACUUAAGCCCAAACCAGCAACUACAGGGGAUGUUUUAAAUUUGAUUGAAAAAACUAACGAAACAUCCAAAAAUCAAACCGAAUUGUCUCUACAAACUUUAAAGCAAAUGCACGAACAAGAUUAUAACCAAAUGGAACGGUUCCUAAGAAUGUAUUCCGAAGCUAACAAUUUAGGAAACUUCGAUGAGAACAAAGAAAAUUAA